GGGUUCGUAGCUCAGCUGGUUAGAGCAGCAUCCUCUUAAGAUGACGGUCGUGGGUUCGAAUCCCACCGAGCCCA
This 74-nucleotide transfer RNA is filed under the name Candidatus Amesiibacteriota bacterium. RNAcentral describes it as "Candidatus Amesbacteria bacterium tRNA-Lys". It matches the Rfam family "tRNA". From Rfam's summary of the family: Transfer RNA (tRNA) molecules are approximately 80 nucleotides in length. Their secondary structure includes four short double-helical elements and three loops (D, anti-codon, and T loops). The record is from RNAcentral. Lineage: Bacteria; Candidatus Amesiibacteriota.